GAUGAACGCUGGCGGCGUGCCUAAUACAUGCAAGUCGAGCGAACAGAUAAGGAGCUUGCUCCUUUGACGUUAGCGGCGGACGGGUGAGUAACACGUGGGUAACCUACCUAUAAGACUGGGAUAACUUCGGGAAACCGGAGCUAAUACCGGAUAACAUUUGGAACCGCAUGGUUCUAAAGUGAAAGAUGGUUUUGCUAUCACUUAUAGAUGGACCCGCGCCGUAUUAGCUAGUUGGUAAGGUAACGGCUUACCAAGGCAACGAUACGUAGCCGACCUGAGAGGGUGAUCGGCCACACUGGAACUGAGACACGGUCCAGACUCCUACGGGAGGCAGCAGUAGGGAAUCUUCCGCAAUGGGCGAAAGCCUGACGGAGCAACGCCGCGUGAGUGAUGAAGGGUUUCGGCUCGUAAAACUCUGUUAUUAGGGAAGAACAAAAGUGUAAGUAACUGUGCACGUCUUGACGGUACCUAAUCAGAAAGCCACGGCUAACUACGUG
This 497-nucleotide ribosomal RNA is filed under the name uncultured bacterium. RNAcentral's name for it is "partial 16S ribosomal RNA". It matches the Rfam family "Bacterial small subunit ribosomal RNA", at positions 28 to 507 of the family's 1533-position model. The record is from RNAcentral.